This 326-nucleotide ribosomal RNA is filed under the name uncultured eukaryote. RNAcentral's name for it is "partial 18S ribosomal RNA". It matches the Rfam family "Eukaryotic small subunit ribosomal RNA", at positions 1470 to 1796 of the family's 1831-position model. The record is from RNAcentral.
CCCUUAGAUGUUCUGGGCUGCACGCGCGCUACACUGAUGCACUCAACGAGUUUACGACCUUGCCCGAUAGGGUUGGGUAAUCUUUUUAAAAUGCAUCGUGAUGGGGAUAGAUUAUUGCAAUUAUUAAUCUUCAACGAGGAAUUCCUAGUAAGCGCGAGUCAUCAGCUCGUGCUGAUUACGUCCCUGCCCUUUGUACACACCGCCCGUCGCUCCUACCGAUUGAGUGCUCAGGUGAAUAAUUCGGACUGCAGCAAUGUUUGGAUCCCGAACGUUGCAGCGGAAAGUUUAGUGAACCUUAUCACUUAGAGGAGGGAGAAGUCGUAACA